Acanthosepion pharaonis is the source of this 101-nucleotide non-coding RNA. NCBI's taxonomy places the organism in Eukaryota, Metazoa, Mollusca, Cephalopoda, Sepiida, Sepiidae. The record is from the annotation of a GenBank genome assembly.
ACGUUGAAACACCGGUUCUUGUACGAUCACCUAAGAUGAGCAACGUCGAGCCUGGUCAGUACUUAGAUGGGUGACCGCUUGGAAAUAUCAAGUACCGUCAG